GAUGAACGCUGGCGGCGUGCCUAAUACAUGCAAGUCGAGCGAACGGACGAGAAGCUUGCUUCUCUGAUGUUAGCGGCGGACGGGUGAGUAACACGUGGAUAACCUACCUAUAAGACUGGGAUAACUUCGGGAAACCGGAGCUAAUACCGGAUAAUAUUUUGAACCGCAUGGUUCAAAAGUGAAAGACGGUCUUGCUGUCACUUAUAGAUGGAUCCGCGCUGCAUUAGCUAGUUGGUAAGGUAACGGCUUACCAAGGCAACGAUGCAUAGCCGACCUGAGAGGGUGAUCGGCCACACUGGAACUGAGACACGGUCCAGACUCCGACGGGAGGCAGCAGUAGGGAAUCUUCCGCAAUGGGCGAAAGCCUGACGGAGCAACGCCGCGUGAGUGACGAAGGUCUUCGGAUCGUAAAACUCUGUUAUUAGGGAAGAACAUAUGUGUAAGUAACUGUGCACAUCUUGACGGUACCUAAUCAGAAAGCCACGGCUAACUACGU
Molecule: ribosomal RNA, 496 nt
Filed under: uncultured bacterium
Lineage: Bacteria
Description: partial 16S ribosomal RNA
Rfam family: Bacterial small subunit ribosomal RNA
Source: RNAcentral